This 766-nucleotide ribosomal RNA is filed under the name Staphylococcus aureus. RNAcentral describes it as "bacterial SSU rRNA". It matches the Rfam family "Bacterial small subunit ribosomal RNA", at positions 28 to 776 of the family's 1533-position model. The record is from RNAcentral. Lineage: Bacteria; Bacillati; Bacillota; Bacilli; Caryophanales; Staphylococcaceae.
GAUGAACGCUGGCGGCGUGCCUAAUACAUGCAAGUCGAGCGAACGGACGAGAAGCUUGCUUCUCUGAUGUUAGCGGCGGACGGGUGAGUAACACGUGGAUAACCUACCCAUAAGACUGGGAUAACUUCGGGAAACCGGAGCUAAUACCGGAUAAUAUUUUGAACCGCAUGGUUCAAAAGUGAAAGACGGUCUUACUGUCACUUAUGGAUGGAUCCGCGCUGCAUUAGCUAGUUGGUAAGGUAACGGCUUACCAAGGCAACGAUGCAUAGCCGACCUGAGAGGGUGAUCGGCCACACUGGAACUGAGACACGGUCCAGACUCCUACGGGAGGCAGCAGUAGGGAAUCUUCCGCAAUGGGCGAAAGCCUGACGGAGCAACGCCGCGUGAGUGAUGAAGGUCUUCGGAUCGUAAAACUCUGUUAUUAGGGAAGAACAUAUGUGUAAGUAACUGUGCACAUCUUGACGGUACCUAAUCAGAAAGCCACGGCUAACUACGUGCCAGCAGCCGCGGUAAUACGUAGGUGGCAAGCGUUAUCCGGAAUUAUUGGGCGUAAAGCGCGCGUAGGCGGUUUUUUAAGUCUGAUGUGAAAGCCCACGGCUCAACCGUGGAGGGUCAUUGGAAACUGGAAAACUUGAGCGCAGAAGAGGAAAGUGGAAUUCCAUGUGUAGCGGUGAAAUGCGCAGAGAUAUGGAGGAACACCAGUGGCGAAGGCGACUUUCUGGUCUGUAACUGACGCUGAUGUGCGAAAGCGUGGGGAUCAAACAGG